GACGAACGCUGGCGGCGUGCUUAACACAUGCAAGUCGAGCGGUAAGGCCCUUUCGGGGGUACACGAGCGGCGAACGGGUGAGUAACACGUGGGUGACCUGCCCUCAGCUCUGGGAUAAGCCUGGGAAACCGGGUCUAAUACCGGAUAUGACUCCAUGACGCAUGUUGUGGGGUGAAAGCCUUGUGCGGCUGAGGAUGGGCCCGCGGCCUAUCAGCUUGUGGUGGGGUGAUGGCCUACCAAGGCGACGACGGGUAGCCGGCCUGAGAGGGCGACCGGCCACACUGGGACUGAGACACGGCCCAGACUCCUACGGGAGGCAGCAGUGGGGAAUCUUGCGCAAUGGG
Molecule: ribosomal RNA, 344 nt
Filed under: uncultured bacterium
Lineage: Bacteria
Description: bacterial SSU rRNA
Rfam family: Bacterial small subunit ribosomal RNA
Source: RNAcentral